Molecule: unclassified non-coding RNA, 152 nt
Filed under: soil metagenome
Description: partial internal transcribed spacer 1
Source: RNAcentral
UCAAAAGUCAGUCGGGGGCUCAAGGCCUUCGUCUACACCCAUGUCUUUUGCGUACUUCAUUGUUUCCUCGGUGGCGCUAAGUCCGCCGAAUUGGACAAACCAAAACCUUUUUGUAAUUGCAAUCAGCGUCAUUAAAAUAAUCUAAUUAUUUA